GCAAGUUGAGCGUGAAAUUUAUAAUGAACUUUCGUGAUUUAUAAAUGGAAAGCAGCGGACGGGUGAGUAACGCGUGGAUAACCUGCCCUAUACUCUAGGAUAACAUACCGAAAGGUAUGCUAAUACUGGAUAAUAUACAUAAGUCGCAUGGCUUUUGUAUCAAAGAUUACGGUAUAGGAUGGAUCCGCGUUCCAUUAGUUAGUUGGUGGGGUAAUGGCCUACCAAGGCGACGAUGGAUAGCCGACCUGAGAGGGUGAUC
RNAcentral lists this ribosomal RNA (259 nucleotides) under uncultured bacterium. RNAcentral's name for it is "partial 16S ribosomal RNA". It matches the Rfam family "Bacterial small subunit ribosomal RNA", at positions 57 to 305 of the family's 1533-position model. The record is from RNAcentral.